This 596-nucleotide ribosomal RNA is filed under the name Bacillus sp. LIPOA/UEL_13. Its description in RNAcentral is "bacterial SSU rRNA". It matches the Rfam family "Bacterial small subunit ribosomal RNA", at positions 76 to 655 of the family's 1533-position model. The record is from RNAcentral. Lineage: Bacteria; Bacillati; Bacillota; Bacilli; Caryophanales; Bacillaceae.
GAGCUUGCUCUUAUGAAGUUAGCGGCGGACGGGUGAGUAACACGUGGGUAACCUGCCCAUAAGACUGGGAUAACUCCGGGAAACCGGGGCUAAUACCGGAUAACAUUUUGAACCGCAUGGUUCGAAAUUGAAAGGCGGCUUCGGCUGUCACUUAUGGAUGGACCCGCGUCGCAUUAGCUAGUUGGUGAGGUAACGGCUCACCAAGGCAACGAUGCGUAGCCGACCUGAGAGGGUGAUCGGCCACACUGGGACUGAGACACGGCCCAGACUCCUACGGGAGGCAGCAGUAGGGAAUCUUCCGCAAUGGACGAAAGUCUGACGGAGCAACGCCGCGUGAGUGAUGAAGGCUUUCGGGUCGUAAAACUCUGUUGUUAGGGAAGAACAAGUGCUAGUUGAAUAAGCUGGCACCUUGACGGUACCUAACCAGAAAGCCACGGCUAACUACGUGCCAGCAGCCGCGGUAAUACGUAGGUGGCAAGCGUUAUCCGGAAUUAUUGGGCGUAAAGCGCGCGCAGGUGGUUUCUUAAGUCUGAUGUGAAAGCCCACGGCUCAACCGUGGAGGGUCAUUGGAAACUGGGAGACUUGAGUGCAGAAGA